RNAcentral lists this ribosomal RNA (253 nucleotides) under uncultured prokaryote. RNAcentral describes it as "partial 16S ribosomal RNA". It matches the Rfam family "Bacterial small subunit ribosomal RNA", at positions 525 to 777 of the family's 1533-position model. The record is from RNAcentral.
ACGUAGGGUGCAAGCGUUAAUCGGAAUUACUGGGCGUAAAGCGUGCGCAGGCGGACUUUUAAGCCAGAUGUGAAAGCCCCGAGCUUAACUUGGGAACUGCGUUUGAAACUAUCAAGCUAGAAUAUGUCAGAGGGGGGUAGAAUUCCACGUGUAGCAGUGAAAUGCGUAGAUAUGUGGAGGAACACCGAUGGCGAAGGCAGCCCCCUGGGUCAAAACUGACGCUCAUGCACGAAAGCGUGGGGAGCAAACAGGA